GAAACCAACAGGGAUUGCCCCAGUAACGGCGAGUGAAGCGGCAACAGCUCAAAUUUGAAAUCUGGCCCCUCCGGGUCCGAGUUGUAAUUUGUAGAGGAUGCUUUUGGUGAGGUGCCGCCCGAGUUCCCUGGAACGGGACGCCACAGAGGGUGAGAGCCCCGUCUGGCUGGCCACCGAGCCUCUGUAAAGCUCCUUCGACGAGUCGAGUAGUUUGGGAAUGCUGCUCAAAAUGGGAGGUAUAUGUCUUCUAAAGCUAAAUAUUGGCCAGAGACCGAUAGCGCACAAGUAGAGUGAUCGAAAGAUGAAAAGCACCUUGAAAAGAGGGUUAAACAGUACGUGAAAUUGUUGAAAGGGAAGCGCUUGUGACCAGACUUGGGCGCGGCGGAUCAUCCGGGGUUCUCUCCGGUGCACUUCGCCGCGUUCAGGCCAGCAUCAGUUCGUCGCGGGGGAAAAAGGCUUCGGGAACGUGGCUCCUCCGGGAGUGUUAUAGCCCGUUGCAUAAUACCCUGCGGUGGACUGAGGACCGCGCAUCUGCAAGGAUGCUGGCGUAAUGGUCACCAGCGACCCGUCUUGAAACACGGACCAAGGAGUCGUCUUCGUAUGCGAGUGUUCGGGUGUCAAACCCCUACGCGUAAUGAAAGUGAACGCAGGUGAGAGCUUCGGCGCAUCAUCGACCGAUCCUGAUGUUCUCGGAUGGAUUUGAGUAAGAGCAUACGGGGCCGGACCCGAAAGAAGGUGAACUAUGCCUGUAUAGGGUGAAGCCAGAGGAAACUCUGGUGGAGGCUCGCAGCGGUUCUGACGUGCAAAUCGAUCGUCAAAUAUGGGCAUGGGGGGCGAAAGACUAAUCGAACCUUCUAGUAGCUGGUUUCC
This 870-nucleotide ribosomal RNA is filed under the name Trichoderma asperellum. RNAcentral describes it as "partial large subunit ribosomal RNA". It matches the Rfam family "Eukaryotic large subunit ribosomal RNA", at positions 61 to 959 of the family's 3401-position model. The record is from RNAcentral. Lineage: Eukaryota; Fungi; Ascomycota; Sordariomycetes; Hypocreales; Hypocreaceae.